Molecule: small RNA, 740 nt
Filed under: Pongo abelii (Sumatran orangutan)
Lineage: Eukaryota; Metazoa; Chordata; Mammalia; Primates; Hominidae
Description: processed transcript
Source: RNAcentral
GUGCUGGAGGAAUACAUGGGUUCAGACCCCCUCUAUGUAGGAAAGAUAUGGAUCUAUAACAGAUGAAUAAACUGGGACCCAAGCACCAUCCAGACAGCACAACAUGGAGCAGAAUGGAGACUCAGUAGCCAUACCUGGGGCUUCUUUGCAUUGACCUUCCAAUUGGGCCAUUCUGCCUCUAAGAAAAUGGACCGGGACCCCUAGAAUGGCUGUUUGUCACAAGUGAAUUACUGUGAACUUUAUCUGAGAAUAAAAGCAAUAUGAGUAGUAUUUUUUCUUUUCAUUUGUUACUUAAUAAAAGAAAUGAUGUUUAGGGCAAUGUUACCAUUACCUAUGCACUUCCUGAAUUAUAUCUCUUUCCUUUAUUCCUGUUUGUAAAACAAUUAAUAUCUUCUUAAACCACACGUCUUCAUUAGAGAUGCUUUAUAAGUAAAUUGUGUUCCAUUACCUUGAACCACAAUAAUAAUUAUGAAUUAGGAAUACUUCAACCAGAAAGAAAUGACUCAUACAUUUGUUUUCAUCUGUAACAUUUCUUCAACAGCUUGAUAAUUGCAGUAUAUGCAGUGGUAUGUGGAAAAUAUUUAUUAAAAGACACAAUAGAAAACUUGUUUAUAAUAUGUAUAUUCAGGCAUUUUUACUUCUGCCAAUCAUUGUUUAAAUCUACCUUCUAUACUUAAAAUUUUAACCUUGUAAAAUUUUAAUAAAAUUACCCUGUAUGGGUUCUAAUAAUCUGGAAUACA